AGUGAACGCUGGCGGUAGGCCUAACACAUGCCAGUCGAACGGCAGCACAGUAAGAGCUUGCUCUUACGGGUGGCGAGUGGCGGACGGGUGAGGAAUACAUCGGAAUCUACUUUUUCGUGGGGGAUAACGUAGGGAAACUUACGCUAAUACCGCAUACGACCUACGGGUGAAAGCAGGGGAUCUUCGGACCUUGCGCGAUUGAAUGAGCCGAUGUCGGAUUAGCUAGUUGGCGGGGUAAAGGCCCACCAAGGCGACGAUCCGUAGCUGGUCUGAGAGGAUGAUCAGCCACACUGGAACUGAGACACGGUCCAGACUCCUACGGGAGGCAGCAGUGGGGAGUAUUGGACAAUGGGCGCAAGCCUGAUCCAGCCAUACCGCGUGGGUGAAGAAGGCCUUCGGGUUGUAAAGCCCUUUUGUUGGGAAAGAAAAGCAGCAGGUUAAUACCCCGCUGUUCUGACGGUACCCAAAGAAUAAGCACCGGCUAACUUCGUG
This 492-nucleotide ribosomal RNA is filed under the name uncultured bacterium. RNAcentral describes it as "partial 16S ribosomal RNA". It matches the Rfam family "Bacterial small subunit ribosomal RNA", at positions 29 to 507 of the family's 1533-position model. The record is from RNAcentral.